RNAcentral lists this long non-coding RNA (257 nucleotides) under Ananas comosus (pineapple). RNAcentral describes it as "long non-coding RNA (ACOM_LNC044317)". Lineage: Eukaryota; Viridiplantae; Streptophyta; Magnoliopsida; Poales; Bromeliaceae. The record is from RNAcentral.
AAAACUUUAGGAGCAAAUAACCAAUGAUGUAAAGUGACAAGAUGUAUAAAUUAUGGAAAGGCUAUGGAUAGUAUGAUAGAAAGUAAAAUCAUUUAUUUUACUUGUAUAGUUGCAUGGUUUCAUAUUGCAUAUUGCGAGGCAUGACAUGUAGUUCAAUAUCCAAUAAAUGUUUAAGUAUUUGUUAUAUGUUAUUGGACUAACCUGUUGCAGUACCUCAUUAGACCUAUUGGUUGAGCUUUUCCCUUGGGUGGCCGUAC